CAAGCUCAGAGCAUAAUUACUAGCUUAGGCACAGGUCAAGGAGUAAGGAAAAUAAUGAUCCUUGAAUGGAUAUGCUGUUAAAAUGAGAUGCUACUUCACAGACAUGGUGUUGUGUGUUUCAUAGAUGAUAAAGCAAUAUUUAUCCGAAAAGAAAAUAAUGUUACUGAACAUGAUCAAAUGUAAUACUUAGUUGGCAUGAUAAAGCACAAAGGUUGUGGCAUCAAACAAAAGAAAACAAACAAAUAUGAAGAACUACAGAGUUUGACAUAAGUUCACCAAAAUGAAGUAUUUGUGGGUUGAAAACCGGAAAAAAAGAAGAUG
Molecule: non-coding RNA, 321 nt
Organism: Oryza sativa Japonica Group (Japanese rice)
Lineage: Eukaryota; Viridiplantae; Streptophyta; Magnoliopsida; Poales; Poaceae
Source: RefSeq, a predicted model, not a curated record